CUAGUAAUCGCGCAUCAGCCACGGCGCGGUGAAUACGUUCCCGGGCCUUGUACACACCGCCCGUCAAGCCAUGGAAGCCGGGGGGUGCCUGAAGUGCGCUGCCGCAAGGAGCGCCCUAGGGUAAAACCGGUGACUGGGGCUAAGUCGUAACAAGGUAAC
RNAcentral lists this ribosomal RNA (159 nucleotides) under uncultured bacterium. Its description in RNAcentral is "partial 16S ribosomal RNA". It matches the Rfam family "Bacterial small subunit ribosomal RNA", at positions 1335 to 1500 of the family's 1533-position model. The record is from RNAcentral.